CUUCCCCGUGACUUCCGGGAAAUGUCAGCCUCCGUCGUCUGGCCUCUUUUACCCGUAGAAGAUAAUGAUGUGUGAGGGGCGCCGCCUGCUGGACACCACGUGACAGGGUCAGAUAGGGACACAUACAUGAUUUAAUGCUGACAGGUGAGGUGACAUGACGUGUCACUCAAAAGCAGACUGGGUGAGGUUGCUGUGAAAGUUUAUUUCCAUGGUCCACAUCUGGUCUGGAGUCUGCCACACUGAAGAAAGAAAAUUCGUUCACCUGUAUUCUGAAUAUGGAAGAUUAACAAUAAAUUCUUCCUUGUA
Long non-coding RNA from Seriola aureovittata, 306 nucleotides. RefSeq lists it as uncharacterized. NCBI's taxonomy places the organism in Eukaryota, Metazoa, Chordata, Actinopteri, Carangiformes, Carangidae. The record is from RefSeq and is a predicted model, not a curated record. The transcript has 2 exons.